UUGGCCCGCGCUGCUGCUUCCUGUGUGUACUGGAUGUUCUCUAGGCUCGCCCAGCGUGGAAGCCCCGAGUUACCAGCCGCAACGUGGAAACCACAAAAGGGGAAAUAGAUGACUUUUGGUUAUCCAGAUCUCUUUGAAUCUUGUUCCUGUCAACUGACUUAUUAGUGCCAUCUCCUAAUUCUGUGUCAACUUAACACUUGACAAGCCUGCUGUCUUUCCCUUCAUCCAAGUUGCCAAUAAAAAUGCUCAACAAGGCAGAGUGCUUUAGCAAGACCUGGAGAGAUCUCCUACAGGGUCUCAAUGGAGCCUGAUGAAUGAAUCAAUUGCAUGAGUACAUUCCACACAUGGGAACCCAGGGAUGGCUGCCAUCAUGCUAUACAAAGUACAGAUCAUCACUGAACAUUAGGCUGGCAGCUCUGAAUGGGGCUGGCAAAGAGCAGCAGAGGUUCAUGGCCUGGAUUUUCUCUGAUCUCAUUUGUAUCCUUCAUCCUAAAUUUAGUUUUGUUUUUUGAAAUGGUUUAUCUUUUAAAAACCAUAUACCUGUUUUACAAGGAUCUCACAAAGAUUAACAAUAUGUAUGCUAUGAAGGAUCCCAUCUGCCUCAGAGAAGAUACGCUUUUCAUCACAGACUGUAUACUUUUUACAGUUCUUAUCUAUUUAUUCUACUGCAAAAACUGCCGAUUCUACAGAGCCUAUUAAUUUCACUGGGAAAACAUGUACGGAAUGUGCUCAUGAGUAUGGGACUUCCUGUAAUUGUUGGAAAGAAGAAAAAGGCUGAUAGAAAAAACAUUUUGGCCUGGCACUCAGGAGAAAACUUCUGCUGAGGAAUGAACAGGGAAAAACAAUGAUGGACCACCUCAAGGAACAAAUCGGAUAGCUUCGACUUCCCCUCUGGAAGCCCUGCUGCGCUGGGAUGCACCUAUCCCUACUUCUUAGAUGUUCCCAUAUGUUCUCAACAGCAUUCUGUCCCUCCCAAGGAGUGUCACUAAAGCUAGCUGGUCUCUUAGGAUUGUUACCUUUAUUGAUGAUUUUCCCUUUAUGCUUCCUGGUGUCUGGCACCAAGACCACACCCCUACUUCUCCAAUGGCCCUUUCCCUCAGUAAGCUUAGCUUAUUGCUCACCUCCCACCUUCUCCCUGAACCCCAGCAGAAAGACAUGGACCUGUCAGAUGCUCCCGAUAUUUAAGUGUCUAUGCCAAAAUCUCAUGUGGACCUUGUUUGUUCAAAUGAGUUACUGUUGAGAGAGACAGCAAAGUCAUCUUCUUUAGGGAACCUGAAAAUUGUCUUCAGUCUGAAAAUUGUCUUCAGAAGAAGGAGCAAAAGAUAGGUGACAGGGAGAGCAUAAGAGGAGAGCCAUGUAUUCUCCUGACCAUGAGCUCGCGGUAGAUAAACCCCUGGUUACCUGAAGGCAGCACCGUGAGCGCCAUCCGCUGUGACUCAUCGGAUGCUUGAUUAAUCCACUUGCUUGGGUGUCCAUGGAGCUGCCACUCUGCCACCCUACACCAGUACAUUCCUGCAUCCUCCAUCUCCACCUGAUGAAGCUUCAGGACAAAGUCUGUAGAGGAUGAACGGUAACAGUGCAGGUGCCUCCUGAGCCCCUCUUCCCCAUACUCCAGCAAGCCAUCAUGUUGCAAGUGCACCAGCAAUUUACUUCCAGAGUUUUCUCUGUUCCAGUACCACAUCACAGAGUACAGAGUGGCUGAGCUGCCUACACUCUCCAGGCUGCAGCGGAUGGCCACUUCUCUGUACUCAGUCACAUUUUCGGUCCAGUACACUUUGGAGACACGUACCUUACUUCCUAGAAAAUAAAAUGGCAGUAAAUUAG
Molecule: non-coding RNA, 1824 nt
Filed under: Pan troglodytes (chimpanzee)
Lineage: Eukaryota; Metazoa; Chordata; Mammalia; Primates; Hominidae
Source: RNAcentral